This 116-nucleotide ribosomal RNA is filed under the name Strombomonas costata. The record is from RNAcentral. Lineage: Eukaryota; Euglenozoa; Euglenophyceae; Euglenales; Euglenaceae.
UCUGGUUCUUUGACUUAUGGUAACACCUAAACCAUUCCGAACUUAGAAGUGAAAUAUAAGUCGAGGAAACAAUAUUAGUAAGGACACUUUCUGAAAAAGUUUUCUUUGAGCCAGAU